This 253-nucleotide ribosomal RNA is filed under the name uncultured bacterium. RNAcentral describes it as "partial 16S ribosomal RNA". It matches the Rfam family "Bacterial small subunit ribosomal RNA", at positions 524 to 776 of the family's 1533-position model. The record is from RNAcentral.
UACGAACUGUGCGAACGUUAUUCGGAAUCACUGGGCUUACAGGGUGCGUAGGCGGCUUGUUAAGUAGGGUGUGAAAGCCCCCGGCUCAACCGGGGAAUUGCGCCCUAAACUGGCGAGCUGGAGUGAGAUAGGGGUGUGUGGAACUUCCGGUGGAGCGGUGAAAUGCGUUGAUAUCGGAAGGAACGCCGGUGGCGAAAGCGACACACUGGAGCUUGUCUGACGCUGAGGCACGAAAGCCAGGGGAGCGAACGGG